Molecule: ribosomal RNA, 498 nt
Filed under: uncultured Pseudomonas sp.
Lineage: Bacteria; Pseudomonadati; Pseudomonadota; Gammaproteobacteria; Pseudomonadales; Pseudomonadaceae
Description: bacterial SSU rRNA
Rfam family: Bacterial small subunit ribosomal RNA
Source: RNAcentral
CGCCCGCUCAGAAACUACAAAGGAAUUGACGGGGCCCGGCACAAGCGGUGGAGUAUGUGGUUUAAUUCGAAGCAACGCGAAGAACCUUACCAGGCCUUGACAUGCAGAGAACUUUCCAGAGAUGGAUUGGUGCCUUCGGGAACUCUGACACAGGUGCUGCAUGGCUGUCGUCAGCUCGUGCCGUGAGAUGUUGGGUUAAGUCCCGUAACGAGCGCAACCCUUGUCCUUAGUUACCAGCACGUUAUGGUGGGCACUCUAAGGAGACUGCCGGUGACAAACCGGAGGAAGGUGGGGAUGACGUCAAGUCAUCAUGGCCCUUACGGCCUGGGCUACACACGUGCUACAAUGGUCGGUACAAAGGGUUGCCAAGCCGCGAGGUGGAGCUAAUCCCAUAAAACCGAUCGUAGUCCGGAUCGCAGUCUGCAACUCGACUGCGUGAAGUCGGAAUCGCUAGUAAUCGUGAAUCAGAAUGUCACGGUGAAUACGUUCCCGGGCCUU